CGAUAGUGAAACACCACCAACCAAUAUCCGUAAAGAUGAGAGCAUUAUAAAUAUGGUUAUGCAUGUUGUGGUUAGCUAUAUUGGUAGAGUGUAUGUAAGUCCAAAGACGUAUCUUGUACAUCACGAACUGCGGAACUUCAUGCUCAUUGCUCCUUCCACUCAGCUUCUUUCUGGGCUGUCACCCGGACCAAAUGAUGCUCACCCUUUCAUUGAUGCAACAAUGAGUCAGAUAACAAUGAGCAUUCUCUGGUAGGUUCGGUUGUUCAUAAACUGCUGCUUAACUACAUUUCACGGCCACGAUCAAAAUUAGUGCAUCGUAUACGUUAAUAUCCGAAGAAAAUUAGCUAGGUGUACUGAAGAGAGUUGGUUCUGCUGCUGCAAAUAUAGUGCUACUUUUGUCAAUUCAAGUUUUGAAGCUUCUAGAAGUCAACUGGUUGACAGCAGUAUCAAUAUAUUACUUAUUCUCAUUCAUUAUCGUAAAUGCAUUCUUGUGGAAUCUGUGAAAAACAUUAAUGUUGGAAAAUCCGUAUUAUAAAGCAUUGGAAAAUGUUAAGAAUGUUGAGUGUAAGAUCCAUUUAUCGUUUGUAAGAUCCAUUUCUCUUUCUUUCUAAUUAUUGUAUUUGAAUUAUGUAACCCAUAUUGCAGUUGAUCGGGUGGAUAUUGACGGAAAUGCACAUAGUGGUCCGCUUGUUAGAUUGGCCUUUGCUUCUCUCUAUGAUACACUUGGCAUGUGCUUGACCGAUGAAACUACAGUUCUGUUGCUGUAUGCUUUGGUUCAUGGGAAUUCAGACUUUCUAGAAUACGUUCUGGUUCGAACGGAUAUAGAUACAUUGGCUCAAGCUAUGUGAACACAAUUGGAAGACAUUCAAGCUCGUCUUGAAAAUGAGACGAAGGCGAGAGAAGAUCAUGUCUCGUCUUGAAAUUGAGAGAAACGCAAGAGAAGAUCUAGUAAUUAGUUAUAAGUUGGUAUCGUUUUAAACAUAUAUGCAUGCUAAGAGUUUGUUUUGUGGUUUAGACAUACUAGAUAUUAUAGCGUUAUGGAUGUUACAAGUUGGUUAGCUUUAUUGUGGAUUUUAAGACAUGCUUUAUAAUUUUCUAAUGAUUUCG
Helianthus annuus (common sunflower) is the source of this 1107-nucleotide long non-coding RNA. RefSeq lists it as uncharacterized. NCBI's taxonomy places the organism in Eukaryota, Viridiplantae, Streptophyta, Magnoliopsida, Asterales, Asteraceae. The record is from RefSeq and is a predicted model, not a curated record. The transcript has 7 exons.